CUCUGUGUUAAUUGGAUUCAUUGCGUAAAUUUGAAGAGAUGAGUUCGAUCAGAUCGUUGUUGGUUCCCAGAGAAGAAGCAGUUGAACGGUGGCAAGGGUUUUUGUUCGUCGUCGUCAGCUUCUUUUUCCUUCUGCUGUUUCUCUAUGCCGCCAUCAUUUCCAAGCUUCUUCCACCUUCCAAGAAUGCCGUCUUAUCUGCUAUUCAGAAUGACUGGUAUUACUGUCUCCUGGUGCCCUUGACAUUACCUAUCCUUUACGUUGCCGUUUAUUUCCAUUGGCUGAGUAUGAAACUAUUCAAGCAUGCUUGAUCAUGUCGUUGUAUGAAGACAAAGGUUUUGAACAAGUUGUGUCUAAAUCUUGGGAGGAUUCAACCACCUAUCUUUGAUUGAAUUACAAUGCGAUGUGUUAGGAAUUUCCAAUACCUAAGGUGAUCAAGAAUGUACGGGGGAAUUACUAGAGGCAUAUAUGAUGAUCAUGCCGAGCAAAUUCCACAUCGAUGAGUCUCUUGUACUGAUUUUUGUAGAGGGCUGUUACUAUAAAAUAUUCACCCAUUGUGGUUGAAUGAUAAGGAUAUUAGGUAUUCAAAUUAAACUGAAAGGUCAAACAGUGGUGGACUUGGUGAAUGAAUCUAAGCACAAGCUCUAUGAACUACUAAGGGAAAACCAACUUGGUUUAUGGUUGAUUUGAUAUGGACAAUCUUGGAUCUUGACAAUUGCUUGUUUGCUCGAUAUGCCACUUUGAGUACUGGUUUGAUUUAUCAUUGUACCGAUAUUUGCCCAUUUUGUAAUGGAAAUUGAUCUACUCCGGAGCUACCUAUUUACUUCGAAUGGUCUACUUUGUUACUUGAAUGAAAAAUGUUUGAUUUAUUUAUUA
Non-coding RNA from Benincasa hispida (wax gourd), 873 nucleotides. Lineage: Eukaryota; Viridiplantae; Streptophyta; Magnoliopsida; Cucurbitales; Cucurbitaceae. The record is from RefSeq and is a predicted model, not a curated record.